Molecule: ribosomal RNA, 253 nt
Filed under: uncultured bacterium
Lineage: Bacteria
Description: partial 16S ribosomal RNA
Rfam family: Bacterial small subunit ribosomal RNA
Source: RNAcentral
UACGGAGGGUGCAAGCGUUAUCCGGAUUCACUGGGUUUAAAGGGUGCGUAGGUGGGCAAGUAAGUCAGUGGUGAAAUCUCCGGGCUUAACCCGGAAACUGCCAUUGAUACUAUCUGUCUUGAAUACUGUGGAGGUCAGCGGAAUAUGUCAUGUAGCGGUGAAAUGCUUAGAUAUGACAUAGAACACCAAUUGCGAAGGCAGCUGGCUACACAAAUAUUGACACUGAGGCACGAAAGCGUGGGGAUCAAACAGG